AACCAACUUGUGGUGUCAAGUGCAUGUCGGAGGAAGAAGCUAUUAGGGUCGGAGGUACAAAUCAUAGCCACGCCACCAAGGAUCUCUACGAUUCGAUUGCUGCUGGAAACUAUCCCGAGUGGAAACUUUUUAUCCAAAUUAUGGACACUGAGGAUGUAGACAAAUUCGACUUUGAUCCUCUUGAUGUAACCAAGACCUGGCCUGAGGAUAUCUUGCCAUUGAUGCCAGUUGGACGAUUGGUACUUAACAGGAAUAUCGAUAACUUCUUUGCUGAGAACGAGCAGCUCGCGUUUAACCCUGGCCAUAUUGUCCCUGGUCUUUACUAUUCGGAGGACAAGCUUCUCCAGACUAGGAUAUUCGCGUAUGCUGAUACUCAGAGACACCGUAUUGGACCAAACUAUAUGCAGCUUCCUGUUAAUGCUCCCAAGUGUGCUCAUCACAAUAAUCACCGCGAUGGUGCCAUGAACUUCAUGCAUCGCGAUGAAGAGG
RNAcentral lists this long non-coding RNA (489 nucleotides) under Nicotiana tabacum (common tobacco). RNAcentral's name for it is "long non-coding RNA (NTAB_LNC003969)". The record is from RNAcentral. Lineage: Eukaryota; Viridiplantae; Streptophyta; Magnoliopsida; Solanales; Solanaceae.